Molecule: ribosomal RNA, 253 nt
Filed under: uncultured bacterium
Lineage: Bacteria
Description: partial 16S ribosomal RNA
Rfam family: Bacterial small subunit ribosomal RNA
Source: RNAcentral
UACAGAGGUCUCAAGCGUUGUUCGGAUUCAUUGGGCGUAAAGGGUGCGUAGGCGGCGCGGUAAGUCGGGUGUGAAAUCUUGGAGCUUAACUCCGAAACUGCAUUCGAUACUGCCGUGCUUGAGGACUGGAGAGGAGACUGGAAUUUACGGUGUAGCGGUGAAAUGCGUAGAUAUCAGGAGGAACACCGGUGGCGAAGGCGGGUCUCUGGGCCGAAAUUGACGCUGAGGAGCGAAAGCGUGGGGAGCAAACAGG